This 377-nucleotide long non-coding RNA is filed under the name Olea europaea (common olive). RNAcentral describes it as "long non-coding RNA (OEUR_LNC010804)". Lineage: Eukaryota; Viridiplantae; Streptophyta; Magnoliopsida; Lamiales; Oleaceae. The record is from RNAcentral.
GACGGGGCCACUCCCUUAUCUACCACUGUUUUCCUCCCCGACGAGCCCCCUCCUUUGCCAAUGCUCUUGUCCCAUCGCGCUUCACGGAUAAAAUAAACGGUUCUCAUGCAUCAUCAUGUAUGUAUGACUGCCAGAGACCCCAUCUCUAUCACACCCAUCCCUAUCACCCUCUCGAUCACCGUCUCCGUCAACUCAUCGCCUACCGACUAUAUCACCUUGAAGUGCUGCAAUAUCAUUCAACAAACUUUCGACCCUUCUUACCAAUUGUCGUCCCAAAUCAUCAACCCUCUCUAUCAUCUCUCGACGCAGCCCGUCAACCUGCCCUAUUAUAAAUAUGCUCAGACGGGCGUAUAGAUCAUCAAAAUAGUGCCCCUGAC